Molecule: microRNA precursor, 56 nt
Filed under: Euprymna scolopes
Lineage: Eukaryota; Metazoa; Mollusca; Cephalopoda; Sepiida; Sepiolidae
Description: Esc-Novel-70_pre stem-loop
Source: RNAcentral
CGUUUCUUCCCUUGCGUUCAUAAGACCAGUAAGAUGAACGUUAGGCGAGACACCGU